AGCAACGCCGCGUGAGUGAUGAAGGUUUUCGGAUCGUAAAGCUCUGUUGUUAGGGAAGAACAAGUGCCGUUCGAAUAGGGCGGCACCUUGACGGUACCUAACCAGAAAGCCCCGGCUAACUACGUGCCAGCAGCCGCGGUAAUACGUAGGGGGCAAGCGUUGUCCGGAAUUAUUGGGCGUAAAGCGCGCGCAGGCGGUCCUUUAAGUCUGAUGUGAAAGCCCACGGCUCAACCGUGGAGGGUCAUUGGAAACUGGAGGACUUGAGUACAGAAGAGGAGAGUGGAAUUCCACGUGUAGCGGUGAAAUGCGUAGAGAUGUGGAGGAACACCAGUGGCGAAGGCGACUCUCUGGUCUGUAACUGACGCUGAGGCGCGAAAGCGUGGGGAGCGAACAGGAUUAGAUACCCUGGUAGUCCACGCCGUAAACGAUGAGUGCUAGGUGUUAGGGGGUUUCCGCCCCUUAGUGCUGAAGUUAACGCAUUAAGCACUCCGCCUGGGGAGUACGGCCGCAAGGCUGAAACUCAAAAGAAUUGACGGGGGCCCGCACAAGCGGUGGAGCAUGUGGUUUAAUUCGACGCAACGCGAAGAACCUUACCAGGUCUUGACAUCCUCUGCAAUCGGUAGAGAUACCGAGUUCCCUUCGGGGACAGAGUGACAGGUGGUGCAUGGUUGUCGUCAGCUCGUGUCGUGAGAUGUUGGGUUAAGUCCCGCAACGAGCGCAACCCUUGAUCUUAGUUGCCAGCAUUUAGUUGGGCACUCUAAGGUGACUGCCGGUGACAAACCGGAGGAAGGUGGGG
Molecule: ribosomal RNA, 796 nt
Filed under: Virgibacillus halodenitrificans
Lineage: Bacteria; Bacillati; Bacillota; Bacilli; Caryophanales; Bacillaceae
Description: bacterial SSU rRNA
Rfam family: Bacterial small subunit ribosomal RNA
Source: RNAcentral